This 253-nucleotide ribosomal RNA is filed under the name uncultured bacterium. RNAcentral describes it as "partial 16S ribosomal RNA". It matches the Rfam family "Bacterial small subunit ribosomal RNA", at positions 524 to 776 of the family's 1533-position model. The record is from RNAcentral.
AACGUAGGUUCCGAGCGUUAUCCGGAUUUACUGGGCGUAAAGCGCGUUCAGGCGGUUUGGCAAGUCGGGCAUGAAAUCUCUCGGCUCAACCGGGAGAGGUUGUCCGAUACUGCUGGACUUGAGGGCAGUAGAGGGUGGUGGAAUUCCGGGUGUAGUGGUGAAAUGCGUAGAUAUCCGGAGGAACACCAGUGGCGAAAGCGGCCACCUGGACUGUACCUGACGCUGACACGCGAAAGCUAGGGGAGCGAACGGG